UUGUAUGAAGCCAAAAUAGAGGCCUGUCUCUGUUAAAGACACCAUUAGAUAAAAUUCUCUUGCAAA
This 66-nucleotide transfer RNA is filed under the name Vargula hilgendorfii (sea firefly). RNAcentral's name for it is "tRNA-Asn". The record is from RNAcentral. Lineage: Eukaryota; Metazoa; Arthropoda; Ostracoda; Myodocopida; Cypridinidae.